This is a long non-coding RNA of Passer domesticus (house sparrow), 1779 nucleotides long. RefSeq lists it as uncharacterized. NCBI's taxonomy places the organism in Eukaryota, Metazoa, Chordata, Aves, Passeriformes, Passeridae. The transcript has 3 exons. The record is from RefSeq and is a predicted model, not a curated record.
GGAACAGCCACGUGUUAUGGUCUGGUUACAGCACCUUGGGUGGCACAACCUCGUGUCGCCUGGGAGGGAGCGCUCGGUGGCUCCGUUCUGUUUCUGUGCGCUUCCCCCAGCCCGGACUGCGGCAUGGGCGCUUUCUUCUGAGUGAAAUGUGCCUUUCUCCGAGUUAUUCUUGCUGAGAAGAGAGAACAAACAGGCAGAAGUGAGAAAAAUGAUGAGCUCCCAGGUGAGCCCAGGCAGCGCUGUGUGUGGAGCAGUGUCAUCACCAUCCUUUUGGGACACAGGCAGCAAUGCCUGAUGCAGCACACCAGACCCUUUUUUUGCCUCACCAAAGAAGCUCUGUGAAAAAAAAAUUGGAACCCAUGUUCACUGAUACAGGAGGGCAUGGAUUGCUCAUUUUGAAUGAAUUUUUUGAAAAUAAUGAGUGAGAAAAUAGCAUGUAUGUGAAGGCCCUGCAGAAGUAUGGUACAUCUGUUUCAAAGCACCAAAGUGCAGACUGUCCCUAAAACAAUUGUGGCAUCUGUAACUCUUUCCAUUCUGACUGUGCAGAAGAAAAAUUUGUCAAAAUAGCCAUUGUGGGAAAACCUCCAGGAAGUUUCUUCUCCAGCUGUGAAGUCAUCUGGGCUUUGCCAAGCCAGGGUGGCAGAGCUGCAGAGGCCCCUCUGAUGGGAGGGUGCUGCACAGCCAAACACAGCCGUAAGUGUUUGAUGUCUGCCCCGACUGCAGGGCAGAGCACUCAGCAGAGAGCAGGCUGCCCAGCCUGAUGGGAAGGAAGGAGGGACACUGACCACGAGGAAACAAGGACCUGGCUGCUGUGCUCUCUGCCCUGGCUGCAGACAAGAGAGCAGUGCACCUUCUGCCCACAGCUGCUCCUGCAGGACCACGCGGUGAGGAAGUGAAUGUGACCAGGCUCCUACCUGUGCCAUGAAACUGGAGACAGGAAUGUGGCAAAAAGCUUCAGAAAGGCAAAACAGAUAAACACACAUCUCUUUGAUCCUAUCAGAGCUCUGGCCAGUUUCUGGAUACUGUGACUUAGCAAGAAUAUAGAGAAAAUUCCCCAAACCAAGGUCCAAGUGCUUCAAGCUAAGUUCACAGCCCAGGCAAAUAUUUCUCUUGUGGAACACUCCAAAAAAUAAUGAGAGUUUUGAAAAGGAAGUGUUCCUCAAUGCUGACUGUCCGACAUGUGAACUAGCCAGACUGGUUAAAGCUUAAUUAAAAAGUGCCAGAGUGACUAAAUUCUUUUCUAAGUGCAGCUGCAGAACGUUAGCUGUGGGCAUAUUUUAGACCUUAAUUAGUAACACUUGCACUAGAGGACCAAAAUCUUUCAUGAAUGCAGCUGCAAUCAAUUAAUAUCAGUUAGGCAUUUCUGUAGGCAAUACAAGGGCUCCUGAAAAUUGUUUUAAUGCCUACCUAGAUUAAAUAAAAACAAAAUACUUACAUGCAACAGAGUACAAAACCAGAGAUAACUACAAAAUGUCUUUAUUGAAAAAAGCAGAUUAUAGCAUCUAAGGUUAAAUGAAACUUCUGACUUUAAUAUUAAAUAACUUAAGAUGAUAGCAAGUAGCUUCUUCUUUAGAUAAAUAAAUCUACAUUUCCCAAUUUUUUCUUCAACAAUCAAGGGAAUCAAACACUGAAACACAAAACCACAAGUAAUUCUAAAGACUAAAAGACAGAAGCACAUUGAAAGGUUUUACAAGGAUAUAUAUAUACAAAAAUAGUUAACUAAUGCAUAUUUUCAGCAUGUAAACUAGUUACAUGAUAUACAAACUGGGAAUUCAUAUA